UACGUAGGGUGCAAGCGUUAAUCGGAAUUACUGGGCGUAAAGCGUGCGCAGGCGGUUAUGCAAGACAGAUGUGAAAUCCCCGGGCUUAACCCGGGAACCGCAUUUGUGACUGCAUAGCUGGAGUACGGCAGAGGGGGAUGGAAUUCCGCGUGUAGCAGUGAAAUGCGUAGAUAUGCGGAGGAACACCGAUGGCGAAGGCAGUCCCCUGGGCCUGUACUGACGCUCAUGCACGAAAGCGUGGGGAGCAAACAGG
This 253-nucleotide ribosomal RNA is filed under the name uncultured bacterium. RNAcentral's name for it is "partial 16S ribosomal RNA". It matches the Rfam family "Bacterial small subunit ribosomal RNA", at positions 524 to 776 of the family's 1533-position model. The record is from RNAcentral.